UUUUCCGUAGGUGAACCUGCGGAGGGAUCAUUACCGAGUUUACAACUCCCAAACCCCUGUGAACAUACCACUUGUUGCCUCGGCGGAUCAGCCCGCUCCCGGUAAAACGGGACGGCCCGCCAGAGGACCCCUAAACUCUGUUUCUAUAUGUAACUUCUGAGUAAAACCAUAAAUAAAUCAAAACUUUCAACAACGGAUCUCUUGGUUCUGGCAUCGAUGAAGAACGCAGCAAAAUGCGAUAAGUAAUGUGAAUUGCAGAAUUCAGUGAAUCAUCGAAUCUUUGAACGCACAUUGCGCCCGCCAGUAUUCUGGCGGGCAUGCCUGUUCGAGCGUCAUUUCAACCCUCAAGCACAGCUUGGUGUUGGGACUCGCGUUAAUUCGCGUUCCCCAAAUUGAUUGGCGGUCACGUCGAGCUUCCAUAGCGUAGUAGUAAAACCCUCGUUACUGGUAAUCGUCGCGGCCACGCCGUUAAACCCCAACUUCUGAAUGUUGACCUCGGAUCAGGUAGGAAUGCCCGGAA
This 520-nucleotide ribosomal RNA is filed under the name Fusarium sp. ASR-176. RNAcentral's name for it is "eukaryotic LSU rRNA". The stretch from base 182 to 335 matches the Rfam family "5.8S ribosomal RNA". Lineage: Eukaryota; Fungi; Ascomycota; Sordariomycetes; Hypocreales; Nectriaceae. The record is from RNAcentral.